This is a long non-coding RNA of Mesoplodon densirostris (Blainville's beaked whale), 3727 nucleotides long. RefSeq lists it as uncharacterized. Lineage: Eukaryota; Metazoa; Chordata; Mammalia; Artiodactyla; Ziphiidae. The record is from RefSeq and is a predicted model, not a curated record. The transcript has 8 exons.
CCAUGUUUCUCUCGGGAGUGGCGGGGACAGAGGCUAGCCCGGGGCAGUUGGAGGGGACUUGACUUCAGCCUGUGGCAGUUGGUGGCCGUCUUGCUCCCAUCAAGGUACAGCCGCCUGCGUGAGCAUGACACCAGUAAGCAGAACCCACAGGCGGGGAGAGACGGUUCCUGCUGACGCCCCUGAGCUCCAGGUGCAGCCUGGCUGUAAGCCGUCCACCUGUGGACUUAGUUACGCUGUCUGCUGCAUGAGAAUGGAGACCAGGUGUCUGGAGCCCGCCCGGCACACAGUAGGGCCUCAGUGAACGUGCACUGGGUGUGUGGACGCUGAGGCCACGGACGAGAACGUUCCAGGCAGUGAUGAAGCUGCGAUGAAGGCUCCCAUCCGUCUGUCUGUCCACGGCUCCGGGCUCCUCUGCCUCCUGCCCUCCGCACGCUCCCUGCAUGGUGCGUCCUCCCCCUCCUCCGAGACUAGGAAGAAGAAAUCUGAAGGUCGUCAUAGAGGACACUCCAGGGGCCUGGGGCACAGUGCUCCUCAGACUUCUUGCCCCUGGGUGGGCUCUGAGCAGGAGGGGUUGGCUUCUCAGCAGGAGACAAAGAGGGAGAUGUCAUGUAUGUGCAGCUCCACCAGGCUUUGCCUACUCUCCUGAAGCGCAUCCUGAGAGGCUGGCCUGGAACAUGUUUGAUGGGUGGAGGCUGGACUCUGGUGUAGGCCUGGAGAGUAUUCAGUGUCUUGCAGGCCCUGUGAUGGGGAAAUGAGUUUUGAUGGCCAAUUUUGGAGGAUGCCUCGCAAUUGAAAACUGGCUCUAGAUAACUUCAAGGAUUCAGCUUAUGAGAAGUGGUGAGACUGGGCAUCCUUGUCUUGUUCCAGAUUUUAGUGAGCACAGGCUCCGGACGCGCAGGCUCAGCGGCCAUGGAUCAUGGGCACAGCCUCUCCGUGGCAUGUGGGAUCUUCCCGGACCAGGGCACGAACCCGUGUCCCCUGCAUCGGCAGGUGGACUCCCAACCACUGCGCCACCAGGAAAGCCUGGACUUCUUCCCUUAAUAAAUGAAGAAUGGGAGACUCCAGGUGGCCUCAUGGUUGAGGUUUCAAGACGAGUGAAAAAAGAUAAAAGCAAAGUAAAAGAAGCUCACGUUGAGUUACUCACUUUGACUUGAAUACACUUCUGUGAGGAGUUACAUCAGCAUUAUGAUUGAAUAAGAUGUGUUUCAUCAUACCCCCCCCUUUAAUAACAACUUGGCUUCAUUCACAGACCAAAGCGUCUUUGUGGGAGCUGUGGGAUCCAGCAAAAUAUGUCAAGGAGAACAAGAGGAAUCUCACCCACCUGUGCACAGGGUAUUAGGCAUAAAGACCUCAGUCCCAGCUUUGGACAUUGCAGUCAUCUGUUAACUGGCUCCAUACCCUCUUGGCUACAGCCUGGGGGGUACCUGGAAAAUCCUGUUUUAAUCUAUCACUUAAGAACAAAAGAGCUUUUGUGGAUAUUCAGGUUUCUUGUAGAGAAGUACUGGCAUAAUGUUGGGGCAAAAAAAAUGAUAUAUGUAUGAGUUUGCAUGAAUUGAACAAAGUAAAAGGAAUGGUUUCACUUUACGAACAUCAAGCCUCCCCCAAGACUGAACAACUAAAGGCCAAGAGGGCUCUUCCUGGCCCAUGAUUUCCCCUGCAGGGGCAAGUGAGAGCACGUGAAUUAACAUGUAGCUGUUCCAACUGUGUGGGAUGUUGCCAAAAAGGCCCAUUGACUUCUUGCCCCAUUCAGAGUGCUGAAUUAUGAGAUGAAUGGGGUGGGAAGAGGUAGCAGAUAGGAUUCUUAGAAGAAAUUGAUGUGGUGCAGAUUCUACCUGCUGUAUCACAGACUCUAUCAAGAAGCACAUCCAUGAGUGAAUAGUAGGGAUGCCUCACCCAUGGAUCCUCCCAACUGGCCAGUGGGCACCCUCAGUGCUCUGAACAUAUUAUACAAAUAUCCACACUGUGGCUAGUUUCCCAUGGGUGCUCACAACCAAGGCAGUGAGGGAAGGCUUUCGCUGACAGCUUGAGAACACACAAAGGAAGCUGGCUCAGUUCUGCAGGCUAGAGACAGACCAUAAAUUUCUGCAUUAGCACCACCCUUAGGAGAAGAAAAGGGGCUCUAUCAACCCCCAGCCUAUUGUGUUGCUAGAUAAAAACAGCAUAUAAGCUCAAGAAUUCUACCAAAAGAUUAAAUAAGAAGCAUGAAACACUUUAAUCCAUAGAAGGUCUGAGAAAGCUUCAGAAACUCUAAGUGUAGAGGGCCAACAGAAGUAUUCUUCUCCUAAAGACAAUUAGCAAACACUGGAGUAAGUGGCUGCUACUUCAAAAGUGAAGACAGAGGGACGAGGGGAAGAUGGCGGAAGAGUAAGAUGCAGAGAUCAACUUCCUCCCCACAGAUACACCAGAAAUACAUCUACACGUGGAACAACUCCUACAGAACACCUACUGAAUGCUGGCAGAAGACCUCAGACCUCCCAAAAGGCAAGAAAGUCCCCACGUACCUGGGUAGGGCAAAAGAAAAAACAAUAAACAGAGAAAAAGGAUAGGGACGGGACCUGCACCAGUGGAAGGAAGCUGUGAAGGAGGAAAGGUUUCCACACACUAGGAAGACCUUCGUGGGCAGAGACUGCGGGUGGCGGAGGAGACCAUAGCAAUGGGUGUGGAGGGCAAAGCGGAGAGAUUCCCGCACAGAGGAUCGGUGCCGAGAAGCUUGUCUGCUCACCCACCAGGGUGGGCGGGGGCUGGGAGCUGAGGCUCGGGCUUCGCUUGGAGCGCAGGGAGAGGACUGGGGUUGGCAGCAUGAACACAGCCUGCAGGGGGUUAGUGCACCACGGCUAGCCGGAAGGGAGUCCGGGGAGGAGUCUGGACCUCCCAAAGAGGCAAGAGACUUUUUCUUCCCUCUUUGUUUCCUGGUGCACGAGGAGAGGGGAUUAAGAGCGCUGCUUAAAGGAGCUCCAGAGACGAGCGCGAUCUGCGGCUAGCAGCGCGGACCCCAGAGACGGGCAUGAGAUACUAAGGCUGCUGCUGCCGCCACCAAGAAGCCUGUGUGCGAGCACAGGUCACUAUCCACACCUCCCUUCCGGGGAGCCUGUGCAGCCCGCCACUGCCAGGGUCCCGGGAUCCAGGGACAACUUCCCCGGGAAAACGCACGGCACGCCUCAGGCUGGUGCAUCGUCCCACCAGCCUCUGCCGCUGCAGGCUCGCCCCGCAUCCACACCCCUCCCUCCCCCUGGCCUGAGUGAGCCAGAGUCCCUGAAGCAGCUGCUCCUUUAACCCCGUCCUGUCUGAGCGAAGAACAGACGCCCUCCGGCGACCAACACGCAGAGGCAGGGCCAAAUCCAAAGCUGAGCCCUGGGAGCUGUGUAAACACAGAAGAGAAAGGGAAAUCUCUCCCAGCAGCCUCAGGAGCAGCGGAUUAAAUCUCCACAAUCAACUUGAUGUACCCUGCAUCCGUGGAAUACAUGAAUAGUCAACGAAUCAUCCCAAAUUGAGGAGGUGGAUUUUGAGAGCAAGAUAUAUUAUUUUUUCCCCUUUUCCUCUUUUUGUAAGUUUGUAUGUGUAUGCUUCUGUGUGAGAUUUUGUAUAGCUUUGCUUUUCCCAUUUGUCCUAGGGUUCUAUCUGUCUGUCUUUUUUUUUUAAUAAAAUUUUUUUUCUUAAUAAAUAUUUUUUAUUUUAAUAACUUUAUUUUAUCCUUUCUUUCCUUCCUUCCUUUUUCUUUCUUUCCUGU